Molecule: small RNA, 63 nt
Organism: Comamonas aquatica DA1877
Lineage: Bacteria; Pseudomonadati; Pseudomonadota; Betaproteobacteria; Burkholderiales; Comamonadaceae
Rfam family: Betaproteobacteria toxic small RNA
About the family: Overexpression in amino aid rich medium attenuates growth, suggesting role in repressing amino acid intake and metabolism.
Source: Rfam
UGUCUCCUCCACCUCCUCUAACGGUGGAUUCAGCCCCAAGCCCCUCGGUUUGGGGCUUUUUUU